GACGAACGCUGGCGGCGUGCUUAACACAUGCAAGUCGAACGGAAAGGCUCUGCUUUUGUGGGGUGCUCGAGUGGCGAACGGGUGAGUAACACGUGAGUAACCUGCCCUGGACUUUGGGAUAACUUCAGGAAACUGGGGCUAAUACCGGAUAGGAGCUCGUGCUGCAUGGUGGGGGUUGGAAAGUUUCGGCGGUUGGGGAUGGACUCGCGGCUUAUCAGCUUGUUGGUGGGGUAGUGGCUCACCAAGGCUUUGACGGGUAGCCGGCCUGAGGGGGUGACCGGCCACAUUGGGACUGGAAUACGGCCCAGACUCCUACGGGAGGCAGCAGUGGGGAAUAUUGCACAAUGGGCGGAAGCCUGAUGCAGCAACGCCGCGUGCGGGAUGACGGCCUUCGGGUUGUAAACCGCUUUCGCCUGUGACGAAGCGUGAGUGGCGGUAAUGUGUAAAGAAGCACCGGCUAACUACGUG
RNAcentral lists this ribosomal RNA (468 nucleotides) under uncultured bacterium. Its description in RNAcentral is "partial 16S ribosomal RNA". It matches the Rfam family "Bacterial small subunit ribosomal RNA", at positions 28 to 507 of the family's 1533-position model. The record is from RNAcentral.